This 337-nucleotide long non-coding RNA is filed under the name Musa acuminata (dwarf banana). RNAcentral's name for it is "long non-coding RNA (MACU_LNC009207)". The record is from RNAcentral. Lineage: Eukaryota; Viridiplantae; Streptophyta; Magnoliopsida; Zingiberales; Musaceae.
AGAAAAUGACAAGAUUUCAAGUCGUUGGAAAUUCAUUUUCGCAAAGUUUCAAAAUCAUUGCUCUUAGAUAUCUGCGAUUAUAGAACACUACAGCCCGGUGCAGUGUCAGAUCACCUUUGCUGGACCGACAGCAGUGACUACGGGGAGGAGAGUAAAAUUUCGGAUUGUAUCGACACAAGAAGAGACUGAAAAAAAAAAACACAACAAUAAUAAUUGUUGACUGGCAUUGGCUUUGGUUUUUCAACAAAAAAAAAAAAAGACACAGAGAAAAUGAGUAAAGCUGAGGGUGCAGCAACACAACAAUAAUAAUGACUCCGAAUCCAAUAUGGACCCUCCC